This 220-nucleotide unclassified non-coding RNA is filed under the name soil metagenome. Its description in RNAcentral is "partial contains 5.8S ribosomal RNA, internal transcribed spacer 2, and large subunit ribosomal RNA". The record is from RNAcentral.
AACAAGGCGUACCUGCGGACCUGCGGAGGGAUCAUUACCAGAGUGCCUUCAGGCUCUCCAACCCACUGUGAACAUACCUACGUUCCCCCGGCGGGCUCAGCGCGCGGCGGCUCCGGCCGCCCGCGUCCGCCGAGGGCAUCUCAAACCCGAAUUUAUUCGUGUCUUCUGAGGGGCGAAAGCCCGUAAAACAAAAUGAAUCAAAACUUUCAACAAUGGAUCU